This 327-nucleotide unclassified non-coding RNA is filed under the name soil metagenome. Its description in RNAcentral is "partial contains 5.8S ribosomal RNA, internal transcribed spacer 2, and large subunit ribosomal RNA". The stretch from base 1 to 120 matches the Rfam family "5.8S ribosomal RNA", at positions 35 to 154 of the family's 154-position model. The record is from RNAcentral.
GAUGAAGAACGCAGCGAAAUGCGAUAAGUAAUGUGAAUUGCAGAAUUCAGUGAAUCAUCGAAUCUUUGAACGCACAUUGCGCCCUUUGGUAUUCCGAAGGGCAUGCCUGUUCGAGCGUCAUUUCACCACUCAAGCCUGGCUUGGUAUUGGGCGCCGCGGUCGACCCGCGCGCCUCAAAGUCUCCGGCUGAGCUGUCCGUCUCUAAGCGUUGUGAUUUCAUUAAUCGCUUCGGAGUGCGGGCGGCCGCGGCCGUUAAAUCUUUCACAAGGUUGACCUCGGAUCAGGUAGGGAUACCCGCUGAACUUAAGCAUAUCAAUAAGCGGAGGA